Otolemur garnettii (small-eared galago) is the source of this 135-nucleotide small nucleolar RNA. Its record names the gene SNORA70. It matches the Rfam family "Small nucleolar RNA SNORA70". Rfam says of the family: snoRNA U70 seems to be exclusive to mammals and is a member of the H/ACA class of snoRNA which contain H (ANANNA) and ACA box motifs. The record is from Ensembl. NCBI's taxonomy places the organism in Eukaryota, Metazoa, Chordata, Mammalia, Primates, Galagidae.
CUGCAGCUAAUGAAGCCAACCAUGCUCCUUUCCUCAUGGGGACCUGGUGUGCAGUGGCUGUAAACAGCAGUCUCCUUGGUGGUAUAUGCAGCCUGUUGCUUGUAUGGGUUGCUCUAAGACACCUUGGAGACAUUC